UACGGGAGGCAGCAGUAGGGAAUCUUCCGCAAUGGACGAAAGUCUGACGGAGCAACGCCGCGUGAGUGAGGAAGGUCUUCGGAUUGUAAAACUCUGUUGUCAGGGAAGAACACCCUGGAGAGCAUCCAGGUUUGACGGUACCUGACGAGAAAGCCCCGGCUAACUACGUGCCAGCGACCGCGGUAAU
Molecule: ribosomal RNA, 187 nt
Filed under: uncultured Listeriaceae bacterium
Lineage: Bacteria; Bacillati; Bacillota; Bacilli; Caryophanales; Listeriaceae
Description: partial 16S ribosomal RNA
Rfam family: Bacterial small subunit ribosomal RNA
Source: RNAcentral